UAGCUCGGUUGGUAGAGCAUGGUGUUUGCAACACCAGGGUUGUGGGUUCGAUUCCCAC
This 58-nucleotide transfer RNA is filed under the name Salmo salar (Atlantic salmon). It matches the Rfam family "tRNA", at positions 8 to 63 of the family's 71-position model. Rfam says of the family: Transfer RNA (tRNA) molecules are approximately 80 nucleotides in length. Their secondary structure includes four short double-helical elements and three loops (D, anti-codon, and T loops). Lineage: Eukaryota; Metazoa; Chordata; Actinopteri; Salmoniformes; Salmonidae. The record is from Rfam by way of RNAcentral.